Molecule: transfer RNA, 66 nt
Filed under: Valentia hoffmanni
Lineage: Eukaryota; Metazoa; Arthropoda; Insecta; Hemiptera; Reduviidae
Description: tRNA-Pro
Source: RNAcentral
CAGUAAAUAGUUUAAUUUUAAAAAUUUUAAUUUUGGGGAUUAAGGAUGGGCUUUGCCUUUUACUGA